This 253-nucleotide ribosomal RNA is filed under the name uncultured bacterium. RNAcentral's name for it is "partial 16S ribosomal RNA". It matches the Rfam family "Bacterial small subunit ribosomal RNA", at positions 524 to 776 of the family's 1533-position model. The record is from RNAcentral.
UACGUAGGGUCCGAGCGUUGUCCGGAAUUACUGGGCGUAAAGCGUGCGUAGGUGGUUUGUUAAGUCUGUUGUGAAAGCCCCGGGCUCAACCUGGGAAUGGCAAUGGAUACUGGCAGGCUAGAGUGCGGUAGAGGGUAGUGGAAUUCCCGGUGUAGCGGUGAAAUGCGUAGAGAUCGGGAGGAACACCAGUGGCGAAGGCGGCUACCUGGACCAGCACUGACACUGAGGCACGAAAGCGUGGGGAGCAAACAGG